RNAcentral lists this long non-coding RNA (844 nucleotides) under Homo sapiens (human). Its description in RNAcentral is "HSALNT0247804". Lineage: Eukaryota; Metazoa; Chordata; Mammalia; Primates; Hominidae. The record is from RNAcentral.
UUCUUUCCUUCCUUCUUUCCUUCUCUUUCUGAAACUUUCUAAAUAGCAUGUGCUACCUAACCUUAUUUGUAACCCACGCCCUUUAAACAAAUUUUGAGGAGAUGAAUCCUGGACAUACCAGGGUAGGAAAGGGAUUUGAGGGAUUUAGAAAAACAGAGGUGAGUGGACCCCACAAUUCACCCACAGACUUGAAAAAGGAGACAAUAGCUGGAGGGGGGAGGCUGGAAACUGAAGGAGCCUGUCUGUGGGAAAGGGAGCGUCCCUGAGAACCCCAAGGAAGGUGGCUGCUCGGUGGAGGGGCUAUUAGGUAAGCGGAUAGAAACUGCACAGCCUCCUUUGCAAUUCCAGAUGUCUUCAUGUGGAAAGUGUGGUGACAUCUUAGAUGGGAGAUGGGGAGGGUGGGGGCUCGCCUCCUCAUCGUCUCCAUCGCCUCAAAUGGGAGUGCUCAGAAGUGUUCCAGAACAAGUAGACAGCUCUCACUGAAGACAGGGAAGGCUCUGUUGGGAUCUCACAAAGGAUUGGUGUCAGGUGAUAAUGUUUAAAUUUUCCAGAUUCCUGAGAGCCAGCACUGGGCAGCUUAAGCCAUCCUCAGCAUCCAACUGGCCUCUUUACUGACACUCCUGCCUAGCAACCUCCACUGUCCCUUGGAUCUCUGGCUGAGCUUAAAGUGUUGGGUUAAAAGAAAAUAAGCAAUAAGAUAUAUAUUAACACCUCCCAUGGAAGGUAAACGGAUUGAUUCAGCUGUGACCACCUCCCGAAAGCCCUAAGUAACAUGUAAUUCAGUCAGUCCUGUUCAUUUUCAUUGCUUACUUGUAAAACUGAGAAAUUAAACUACAAUGAUGCA